RNAcentral lists this ribosomal RNA (874 nucleotides) under uncultured methanogenic archaeon. RNAcentral describes it as "bacterial SSU rRNA". It matches the Rfam family "Archaeal small subunit ribosomal RNA", at positions 1 to 878 of the family's 1478-position model. The record is from RNAcentral. Lineage: Archaea; Methanobacteriati; Methanobacteriota.
GCCCUUUUCCGGUUGAUCCUGCCGGAGGCCACUGCUAUCGGGGUUCGAUUAAGCCAUGCGAGUCGAGAGGUGCAAGACCUCGGCAUACUGCUCAGUAACACGUGGACAACCUACCCUGAGGAGGGGGAUAACCCCGGAAAACUGGGGAUAAUACCCCAUAGGCCAGGGAUGCUGGAAUGCCUCCUGGUUGAAAGGUCCGCCGCCUCAGGAUGGGUCUGCGGCCGAUUAGGUUGUUGUUGGGGUAACGGCCCAGCAAGCCAUUGAUCGGUACGGGUUGUGGGAGCAAGAGCCCGGAGAUGGAUUCUGAGACACGAAUCCAGGCCCUACGGGGCGCAGCAGGCGCGAAAACUUUACAAUCCGAGAAAUCGUGAUAAGUGAACCCCGAGUGCCCGUAAAUUCGGGCUGUCCAUCAGUGUACAAAACGGGUGAAGAAAGGGCCGGGCAAGACCGGUCCCAACCGCCGCGGUAAUACCGGCGGCUCGAGUGGUGGCCGCUAUUAUUGGGCUUAAAGCGUCCGUAUCUGGGUUGUUAAGUCUCCUGGGAAAUACACCGGCUCAGCCGGUGGGCGUUCGGGAGAAACUGGCAACCUAGGGACCGGGAGAGGUGAGAGGUACUCCAGGGGUAGGAGUGAAAUCCUGUAAUCCUUGGGGGACCACCUGUGGCGAAGGCGUCUCACUAGAACGGCUCCGACAGUGAGGGACGAAAGCUGGGGGAGCAAACCGGAUUAGAUACCCGGGUAGUCCCAGCUGUAAACGAUGCGCGUUAGGUGUAUCGGUGACCACGAGUCACCGAGGUGCCGAAGGGAAACCGUGAAACGUGCCGCCUGGGAAGUACGGUCGCAAGACUGAAACUUAAAGGAAUUGGCGGGAAGGGC